This 121-nucleotide non-coding RNA is filed under the name anaerobic digester metagenome. Its description in RNAcentral is "MOCO_RNA_motif". It matches the Rfam family "Molybdenum/Tungsten riboswitch aptamer (Moco RNA motif)". The record is from RNAcentral.
ACAUAAAACGCUCUCCGAGCCGGACAGCCUACAGCCGAAGGGCCAGGGCCGCCGGCCGCAAGGGUUUACCGGGAAACCGGCACUCCUUCCGUUUAAGAAAAGGAGAGCGGUACGGCUGUUG